Molecule: ribosomal RNA, 468 nt
Filed under: uncultured bacterium
Lineage: Bacteria
Description: partial 16S ribosomal RNA
Rfam family: Bacterial small subunit ribosomal RNA
Source: RNAcentral
GACGAACGCUGGCGGCGUGCUUAACACAUGCAAGUCGAACGGAAAGGCCCUGCUUUUGUGGGGUGCUCAAGUGGCGAACGGGUGAGUAACACGUGAGUAACCUGCCCUUGACUUUGGGAUAACUUCAGGAAACUGGGGCUAAUACCGGAUAGGAGCUCCUGCUGCAUGGUGGGGGUUGGAAAGUUUCGGCGGUUGGGGAUGGACUCGCGGCUUAUCAGCUUGUUGGUGGGGUAGUGGCUUACCAAGGCUUUGACGGGUAGCCGGCCUGAGAGGGUGACCGGCCACAUUGGGACUGAGAUACGGCCCAGACUCCUACGGGAGGCAGAAGUGGGGAAUAUUGCACAAUGGGCGGAAGCCUGAUGCAGCAACGCCGCGUGCGGGAUGACGGCCUUCGGGUUGUAAACCGCUUUCGCCUGUGACGAAGCGUGAGUGACGGUAAUGGGUAAAGAAGCACCGGCUAACUACGUG